GCGGAUGGCCGGAUGACCGCGAGUGUUCAUAGCUCUGCCUUAGUGGAUAGCUGAACGCUCGAGGAAAGUCCGGACUCCAUGAAGUGACGGUGCCGGGUAACGCCCGGGCGGGGCAACCCGACGGAAAGCGCCACAGAAAAUAAACCGCCCUGUGAUCUGCCUUGGUGGGCCACACGGGUAAGGGUGAAACGGUGGGGUAAGAGCCCACCGCGGGGCUGGUAACAGGCCCGGCAUGGCAAGCCCCACCGGGAGCAACGCCGAAUAGGGAUCGUGUGCCGCCCCGGCAACGGGUGACGGCAGGGGAACUUCGCCCCGAGCGAUCCGGGUUGGCGGCUGGACCCUGUGAGCAAUCGCAGGGCGAGAGGAAUGGUCAUCCAGAGGGGCAACCCUUGGACAAAAUCCGGCUUACAGGCCAUCCGCGCAA
RNAcentral lists this RNase P RNA (424 nucleotides) under Thioclava dalianensis. RNAcentral describes it as "Bacterial RNase P class A". It matches the Rfam family "Bacterial RNase P class A". Rfam says of the family: Ribonuclease P (RNase P) is a ubiquitous endoribonuclease, found in archaea, bacteria and eukarya as well as chloroplasts and mitochondria. Its best characterised activity is the generation of mature 5'-ends of tRNAs by cleaving the 5'-leader elements of precursor-tRNAs. The record is from Rfam by way of RNAcentral. Lineage: Bacteria; Pseudomonadati; Pseudomonadota; Alphaproteobacteria; Rhodobacterales; Paracoccaceae.